GUGCUUGCUGAGGCAGCACGUAGACUAAAAGUGGAACAUACAGAGAAGAUUAGCAGGGUCUGUGGGCAAGGAUGACAUGCAUAUUUAUGCAGAGUCCCAUAUUGUU
Small nuclear RNA from Suricata suricatta (meerkat), 106 nucleotides. The record is from Ensembl. Lineage: Eukaryota; Metazoa; Chordata; Mammalia; Carnivora; Herpestidae.